Coturnix japonica (Japanese quail) is the source of this 1042-nucleotide non-coding RNA. The record is from RefSeq and is a predicted model, not a curated record. Lineage: Eukaryota; Metazoa; Chordata; Aves; Galliformes; Phasianidae.
CAGAGGCUGAAGGCUGGGGGCGUGGCCGGCGGAUCUUGCAGAGUGACGUGCGGCUAAACCAAUAGAAAGAGCGGAUCGCGCUGCGAGAGGCGGGGCAGAGAAGAUAGACAGGCGAUUAAACCAAUAGGAGGAGGAAUAGCUUUCCCGCCCAUUCUCUCGCCCCGCCCAGCGUGUUGUUUGUUUGUGAGGAGGCUGAGGGGGGGCGGCAGUUACGUGCGUCCCCUCAGCGCUGAGCGCGCCGCCUCCGUGAGGAGGGGCCGUGAGGGCUCGCAGCCAGAAGCAGCCGGCGGCAAUGGGACAUUCCGUGUAUGAACGAGCUGCGGAACCACGGCUGCCCCAGGGACGUGGAUGAGACUGUAAAACUCCAUUUUGCAAAAAUCUGCUACGGUAAGGAGUGCUCGCUAGCAUGAGGAGUUCGUCACGUCGGGCGUUCAUCUUUUGCUAGUGGUAAAUCCAGGACCCGCCUUCGGCCAACGCCGCCGGCCGCUCCCCAAGCCGCCCUGCCGGCCGCAUAGGAAGGGAAUGAGAAUCGGCCCCGCCGCCGUGGGAGUGGGGACGGGACGGGACCCCCCCGGGCAGCCCCGCGUAAAGUGCAUGGUUUGCUUUUAUUUUUUUUUCUCUUUCUUUCAUUAAAAAAAUAAGAGGAAUAAAACUUUUUCUUCUUUCGGCAAAGGUACUCUCGGGGGGUGGGGGGGGUGGGGAGGGGGGGGGAUUUCAACGACGUUUUGGUCUCUCGGCAAAUAUUGCAGGAGCCAGGACCAGCUCCCGGUUCCUCCUCCGCCAUCUUGUUGGCCUUGUGCUGCCUCCAGGAGCCGCCCAUGGCCUCCAACAGCCGCUGCUGAGCUCCGAGCUUCCCCCUGUGCUGCAGGACGGGGUGAGCGCCUUCCUACACAGCGGGCCUGGAAUGUGCCACGCAGAGCCAACAGCACCACACCCAGCAACAGCCACAGCCCUGGGACAGAGGAGAGAGGGACGGAAGAAGGAAGAGAAGGGAGGAAGGAAGAGGAAGGAAAGAGGAAGGAAAGAGGAAGGAAAGAGGAAG